RNAcentral lists this ribosomal RNA (1111 nucleotides) under Lasiodiplodia theobromae. Its description in RNAcentral is "SSU rRNA". It matches the Rfam family "Eukaryotic small subunit ribosomal RNA", at positions 68 to 1151 of the family's 1831-position model. The record is from RNAcentral. Lineage: Eukaryota; Fungi; Ascomycota; Dothideomycetes; Botryosphaeriales; Botryosphaeriaceae.
GGCAAUUUUUUUUUUUUGUUGUUGUCGUCUACUAAAGCAUCUAUACUGUGAAACUGCGAAUGGCUCAUUAAAUCAGUUAUCGUUUAUUUGAUAGUACCUUACUACUUGGAUAACCGUGGUAAUUCUAGAGCUAAUACAUGCUAAAAACCCCGACUUCGGAAGGGGUGUAUUUAUUAGAUAAAAAACCAAUGCCCUUCGGGGCUCCUUGGUGAAUCAUGAUAACUUAACGAAUCGCAUGGCCUUGCGCCGGCGAUGGUUCAUUCAAAUUUCUGCCCUAUCAACUUUCGAUUGUAGGAUAGUGGCCUACAAUGGUUUCAACGGGUAACGGGGAAUUAGGGUUCUAUUCCGGAGAGGGAGCCUGAGAAACGGCUACCACAUCCAAGGAAGGCAGCAGGCGCGCAAAUUACCCAAUCCCGAUACGGGGAGGUAGUGACAAUAAAUACUGAUACAGGGCUCUUUUGGGUCUUGUAAUUGGAAUGAGUACAAUUUAAAUACCUUAACGAGGAACAAUUGGAGGGCAAGUCUGGUGCCAGCAGCCGCGGUAAUUCCAGCUCCAAUAGCGUAUAUUAAAGUUGUUGCAGUUAAAAAGCUCGUAGUUGAACCUUGGGCCUGGCUGGCCGGUCUGCCUCACCGCAUGUACUGGUUCGGCCGGGUCUUUCCUCCUGGGGAUCCGCAUGCCCUUCACUGGGUGUGUUGGGGAACCAGGACUUUUACUUUGAAAAAAUUAGAGUGUUCAAAGCAGGCCUUUGCUCGAAUACAUUAGCAUGGAAUAAUAGAAUAGGACGUGCGGUCCUAUUUUGUUGGUUUCUAGGACCGCCGUAAUGAUUAAUAGGGAUAGUCGGGGGCAUCAGUAUUCAGUUGUCAGAGGUGAAAUUCUUGGAUUUACUGAAGACUAACUACUGCGAAAGCAUUUGCCAAGGAUGUUUUCAUUAAUCAGUGAACGAAAGUUAGGGGAUCGAAGACGAUCAGAUACCGUCGUAGUCUUAACCGUAAACUAUGCCGACUAGGGAUCGGGCGAUGUUAUUCUUUUGACUCCCUCGGCACCUUACCAGAAAUCAAAAUCUUUGGGUUCUGGGGGGAAUAUGGUCGCAAGCUGAACUAAGAUAUAGGA